RNAcentral lists this ribosomal RNA (273 nucleotides) under uncultured bacterium. RNAcentral describes it as "partial 16S ribosomal RNA". It matches the Rfam family "Bacterial small subunit ribosomal RNA", at positions 524 to 796 of the family's 1533-position model. The record is from RNAcentral.
UACGGAGGGUGCAAACGUUGCUCGGAAUCAUUGGGCGUAAAGCGAACGUAGGCGGCUUUGUAAGUCGGGUGUGAAAGCCCUCGGCUCAACCGAGGAAGUGCAUUCGAAACUGCAAGGCUCGAGUAUCGGAGAGGAUAGCGGAAUUCCCGGUGUAGAGGUGAAAUUCGUAGAUAUCGGGAGGAACACCAGUGGCGAAGGCGGCUAUCUGGACGAAUACUGACGCUGAAGUUCGAAAGCGUGGGGAGCAAACAGGAUUAGAAACCCCCGUAGUCC